GAUGAACGCUGGCGGCGUGCCUAAUACAUGCAAGUCGAGCGAACAGACGAGGAGCUUGCUCCUCUGACGUUAGCGGCGGACGGGUGAGUAACACGUGGAUAACCUACCUAUAAGACUGGGAUAACUUCGGGAAACCGGAGCUAAUACCGGAUAAUAUAUUGAACCGCAUGGUUCAAUAGUUGAAGAAGGUUUUGCUGUCACUUAUAGAUGGAUCCGCGCCUCAUUAGCUAGUUGGUAACGUAACUGCUUACCAAGGCAACGAUGCGUAGCCGACCUGAGCGGGUGAUCGCACACACGGGAACUGAGACACGGCCCAGACUCCUACGGGAGGAAGCAGUAGGGACUCUUACGCGAGGGGGGAAAGCUGAACGGAGCAACGCGGCGUGAGUGAUGAAGGUCUUCGGAUCGUAAAACUCUGUAAUUAGGGAAGAACAAAUGUGUAAGUAACUAUGCACGUCUUGACGGUACCUAAUCAGAAAGCCACGGCUAACUACGUG
RNAcentral lists this ribosomal RNA (497 nucleotides) under uncultured bacterium. RNAcentral's name for it is "partial 16S ribosomal RNA". It matches the Rfam family "Bacterial small subunit ribosomal RNA", at positions 28 to 507 of the family's 1533-position model. The record is from RNAcentral.